RNAcentral lists this ribosomal RNA (460 nucleotides) under uncultured bacterium. RNAcentral's name for it is "partial 16S ribosomal RNA". It matches the Rfam family "Bacterial small subunit ribosomal RNA", at positions 338 to 795 of the family's 1533-position model. The record is from RNAcentral.
CCUACGGGAGGCAGCAGUGAGGAAUAUUGGUCAAUGGGCGGGAGCCUGAACCAGCCAAGCCGCGUGAGGGAAGAAGGUACAGCGUAUCGUAAACCUCUUUUGUCAGGGAACAAAGGCGGGGACUAGUCCCCGGAUGAGGGUACCUGAAGAAAAAGCAUCGGCUAACUCCGUGCCAGCAGCCGCGGUAAUACGGAGGAUGCGAGCGUUAUCCGGAUUUAUUGGGUUUAAAGGGUGCGCAGGCGGCCUGUUAAGUCAGAUGUGAAAACCAUGGGCUCAACCUGUGGCCUGCAUUUGAAACUGUUUUUCUUGAGUACUGGAGAGGCAGACGGAAUUCCUAGUGUAGCGGUGAAAUGCGUAGAUAUUAGGAGGAACACCAGUGGCGAAGGCGGUCUGCUGGACAGCAACUGACGCUGAGGCGCGAAAGCGUGGGGAGCAAACAGGAUUAGAUACCCUUGUAGUC